CCCAGAGUCACAGGACAGCGGAGUCCUAGUGACGGCAGCCUCCCCAGUCACUUGGCUGGAGACAGUCAGCGGACAAGAUGCUCUGCUGCUUUCCCAAGGGUCAGGGCCGCAGUCCCAGGACCCCGCGAAGGGAAAGCACUUGGCAACGAGUGCGAGGAUGGAUCGCUCAGCCCAGGUGCUUCAGGCCACUGGGCAGGAACCUCCCAACUGCCAUGGGCAGCGCAGGGCAGGUCUCCCCAGCCCCAGCCCCCAGGUGCUCUGAGAUGAACGGGAGCCCAGAGCAGGUCUCCCUGGGCCUGGCCGCCAGACACCUGGAGCCACUGAGUCCAGAACCGGACAGUUUAGUCCUGGCCAGCACUAUUGGAAACCAGGCGGCCGAGGGCCUGGCAGAGGUCUGCACAGCGAGGACGGAGGCGGCAGGCACACAGUGCACCACGACGGAGCCCCUGGAGCAGGCCUUCGUGGACAGCUGCCCCAUCCCUGGGACCCACUUCCCGGACCCCAUGAGGGCCGACACUUCCUCCCCAGAGGAGGCCAUGGUGGGAAGGUCCACGUCCGAUGUCCCUGAGUCCUCACUGGAGCUGCACUGCCACGAGGAUCCCCCGGCUGAACUGGCUCUGCAGGAGCACUCAGAGCCCACUGAGGCAGAGCCCGAGCGUGAGGACUGGGCCGCAGGGCCAGCUCCAGCCCAAGCUGAAGUCCCACCUGUGGAGCCUGCGCCAGCUCCACCUGCAGCUCCGUCCCCCGCUCUGGCCUCACAGCGAGAGCCAGCCUCAGGCAGCCCUUGUGCACCAGCUGCAGGUCCAGGGCUCCUGGUGGCUCCACAGCAGGGCUCAGCUCCUGAGCUCCCCCCGGGGCCAGCCCCUGCCCCACCCCUACCCUUCCCCUCCAUCACUGUGGGGCAUGUUUUCGCAUAUGUUCUCUCCCUUCUCUUCUGGAUCUACAUGAAUAACAGAAUUCUUUUUAAUAAAAGUUAAGGAUUUUGGUCUGGUUCUAAACAAUCAGCAUUGUGGUGUGCAGUGCAUUCUCGGUGCUGUGCACCCAGCACCGCUGUCCAGGUCCGGAGCAUUCUCCUCAGCGCUGUGCCCGUGAGCGGCUCCUCCACUGCCCCCG
RNAcentral lists this long non-coding RNA (1113 nucleotides) under Chinchilla lanigera (long-tailed chinchilla). RNAcentral's name for it is "lncRNA (ENSCLAG00000026432.1)". The record is from RNAcentral. Lineage: Eukaryota; Metazoa; Chordata; Mammalia; Rodentia; Chinchillidae.